This 406-nucleotide ribosomal RNA is filed under the name uncultured bacterium. RNAcentral's name for it is "partial 16S ribosomal RNA". It matches the Rfam family "Bacterial small subunit ribosomal RNA", at positions 29 to 526 of the family's 1533-position model. The record is from RNAcentral.
AUUGAACGCUGGCGGCAGGCCUAACACAUGCAAGUCGAACGAGUGGCGGACGGGUGAGUAAUGUCUGGGAAACUGCCUGAUGGAGGGGGAUAACUACUGGAAACGGUAGCUAAUACCGCAUACCAUCGGAUGUGCCCAGAUGGGAUUGGCUAGUCGGUGGGGGAAAGGCUCACAUAGGCGACGAUCCCUAGCUGGUCUGGGAGGAUGACCAGCAAAACUGGAACUGAGACACGGCCCAGACUCCUAGGGGAGGCGGCAGUGGGGAAUAUUGCACAAUGGGCGAAAGCCGGAUGAAGCCAUGCGGGGUGUAUGAAGAAGGCCUUCGGGUUGUAAACUACUUUCAUCGGGGAGGCGUUACCCGAAGAAGAAGCACCGGCUAACUCCGUGCCAGCAGCCGCGGUAAUUC